Long non-coding RNA from Strongylocentrotus purpuratus (purple sea urchin), 268 nucleotides. RefSeq lists it as uncharacterized. The record is from RefSeq and is a predicted model, not a curated record. NCBI's taxonomy places the organism in Eukaryota, Metazoa, Echinodermata, Echinoidea, Camarodonta, Strongylocentrotidae. The transcript has 2 exons.
GGUUACUGAGAGUUGAAGAAGAGUUGCAGAAAAUUUGAUAGAUCUACUCUUACUGUUGGACAGUUACUGAGAGAGAAGCAAGGAGGCAGAGGUAAAUUCAGCUCUUACUGUUGGACAGUUAGUGAGAGGGAAGCAGGGAGGAAGAGGUGAAUAGAGCUCUUAUUGUUGAACAUUUACUGAGAGAGAGAGCAAGGAGGCAGAGGUGAAUAGAGCUCUUACUCUUGGACAGUUAUUUAGAGAGAAGCAAGGAGGCAGAGGUAAAUAGAGU